Molecule: long non-coding RNA, 431 nt
Filed under: Cricetulus griseus (Chinese hamster)
Lineage: Eukaryota; Metazoa; Chordata; Mammalia; Rodentia; Cricetidae
Description: lncRNA (ENSCGRG00000025998.1)
Source: RNAcentral
AGCAAGUUAGGCAGGACUAGGAGUCAAAGAGGAUUCUGGGAAAUGUAGUAGAGAAGUGGUGUUCCAGGAAGGAAGUGACAUAGCAAGGAGACUCAUUUAAGAAAAGGAAACAGGAAGUGCUGCCCUUUUUCCCCUUCUUCCUCCAGUGGCAGGAUGUUAGACACCGGCAAGGAGGGACGCCAAUAAGGUUCUGGUUUGUCAGAUGGAGCCUGGGAAUCUGCUUUGAGAAUAGACCAAUAGUGCUAUGCCCAGAUUCCAGAGUCAUUCCCCUCCCCCCAAAAAAAACCAACGAGGAGACCAAGCUCAAGCUCAAGCUUGAACUCUCCAUCUGUCCAAGCAGCCACUGAGAGCAGAGCAUGCUCAAUCCUGUGCAAGGUAGGGUUUGUUUAUUUAUUUAUUUAUUUAUUUAUUUAUUUAUUUAUUUAUUUAUA